GACCAGACUCCUACGGGAGGCAGCAGUGAGGAAUAUUGGUCAAUGGGCUUACGCCUGAACCAGCCAAGUCGCGUGAGGGAAGACUGCCCUAUGGGUUGUAAACCUCUUUUGUCAGGGAGCAACGCCGGCUACGUGUAGCCGGACUGAGAGUACCUGAAGAAAAAGCAUCGGCUAACUCCGUGCCAGCAGCCGCGGUAAUACGGAGGAUGCGAGCGUUAUCCGGAUUUAUUGGGUUUAAAGGGUGCGUAGGCGGAAUGCCAAGUCAGCGGUAAAAUCGCGGGGCUCAACCUCGCUCCGCCGUUGAAACUGGCGUUCUUGAGUGGGCGAGAAGUAUGCGGAAUGCGUGGUGUAGCGGUGAAAUGCGUAGAUAUACGGAGGAGCACCAGUGGCGAAGGCGGAUUGCUGGACAGUAACUGACGCUGAGGCGCGAAAGCGUGGGGAGCAAACAGGAUUAGAUACCCUGGUACA
This 468-nucleotide ribosomal RNA is filed under the name uncultured bacterium. Its description in RNAcentral is "bacterial SSU rRNA". It matches the Rfam family "Bacterial small subunit ribosomal RNA", at positions 329 to 794 of the family's 1533-position model. The record is from RNAcentral.